Non-coding RNA from Pelobates cultripes (western spadefoot toad), 246 nucleotides. The record is from the annotation of a GenBank genome assembly. Lineage: Eukaryota; Metazoa; Chordata; Amphibia; Anura; Pelobatidae.
CCCUGCUUCAUUAUAGGUAACAUUUCCAAAUGCUCCUCUCACACCAUCUCCAGGUCUUGUCUCACUCCAUAUUCUCUCUGUUUUUUUUUUCUUGCUUAGAAAGCAAUCAUUAAUCACUGGGAAAUCACAGCACACAUUUACUUUGGCAUCUUUGGGUGUUGAAGUAUAAGCCUAUGGAUGUAGCCCUCAGGAAAUGCACACAAUUCCUCACUGCUCCAGCUUUUAUCAUCAGCACACACAGCAGAC